CGCGUAGGCUGUGCUGUAAGUCAGGCGUGAAAUCCCCGGGCUCAACCUGGGAAUUGCGCAUGAUACUGCGGCGCUGGAAUGCAGGAGAGGAUGGCGGAAUUCCCAGUGUAGAGGUGAAAUUCGUAGAUAUUGGGAAGAACACCGGUGGCGAAGGCGGCCAUCUGGCCUGCGAUUGACGCUGAGGCGCGAAAGCGUGGGGAGCAAACA
This 207-nucleotide ribosomal RNA is filed under the name uncultured bacterium. RNAcentral describes it as "partial 16S ribosomal RNA". It matches the Rfam family "Bacterial small subunit ribosomal RNA", at positions 568 to 774 of the family's 1533-position model. The record is from RNAcentral.